This 460-nucleotide ribosomal RNA is filed under the name uncultured bacterium. Its description in RNAcentral is "partial 16S ribosomal RNA". It matches the Rfam family "Bacterial small subunit ribosomal RNA", at positions 338 to 795 of the family's 1533-position model. The record is from RNAcentral.
CCUACGGGUGGCUGCAGUGAGGAAUAUUGGUCAAUGGGCGGAAUCCUGAACCAGCCAUGCCGCGUGAGGGAAGACUGCUCUACGGGUUGUAAACUUCUUUUAUGCCGGGAUAAAGUUGUUUACGUGUGGAUGUUUGCAGGUACGGCACGAAUAAGGAUCGGCUAAUUCCGUGCCAGCAGCCGCGGUAAUACGGAAGUUCCGCGCGUUAUCCGGUUUUAUUGGGUUUAAAGGGGGCGUAGGCUGUUCUUUAAGCGUGCGGUGAAAUUAUGAGGCUCAACAAAGAGUGGGCGGCGCGAACUGGAGAACUAGAGAUCGCAGACGGCAGGCGGAAUGCGUGGUGUAGCGGUGAAAUGCAUAGAUAUCACACAGAACACCGAUUGCGAAGGCAGCCUGCCGCAGCGUUACUGACGCUGAAGCACGAAAGCGCGGGUAUCGAACAGGAUUAGAUACCCUAGUAGUC